UACAGAGGGUGCGAGCGUUAAUCGGAAUUACUGGGCGUAAAGCGCACGUAGGUGGUUGUGUAAGUCGAGUGUGAAAGCCCCGGGCUCAACCUGGGAACUGCAUUCGAGACUGCAUUACUCGAGUAUGGGAGAGGGCAGUGGAAUUUCCGGUGUAGCGGUGAAAUGCGUAGAUAUCAGGAGGAACACCGGUGGCGAAGGCGGAUCUCUGGGCCUUACCUGACGCUCAGGUGCGAAAGCUAGGGGAGCGAACAGG
This 253-nucleotide ribosomal RNA is filed under the name uncultured bacterium. RNAcentral describes it as "partial 16S ribosomal RNA". It matches the Rfam family "Bacterial small subunit ribosomal RNA", at positions 524 to 776 of the family's 1533-position model. The record is from RNAcentral.